CGAUCCUUGCUGUCUGAAGGCCUUGAUGCAGAAGAUGGCGAAGCGAUAGAGAUAAAGCUUGGAUCUCAACCUGAAGAGCAGAGGCUGCCGCAACUCCUACCGAAAACCCAUCAGUUAGAGGGGGAAGAAACCCGAUCUGCUUGGACGCCAGUCAGUACUUGGUCUACUACCUGAUCUGGAUUAGGAGUUGAGCCGCGGAAGACGAAGGCAUUCCGAGCCUUCCAGAUCUGCCACAGGAGAUGAGAGAGUAAGGCCAGCCGAGGUAAUCGAGGCUCUGUCUCGAUCGUAGAGGUGAUCCAUGAAUCCAGACGAUGGAUGUGGGUGGGAUCAAUCGAGACACGAAUGCGGGGAUGUGUCCAAACUUCCUGAGUCCAUGAGCAAAAUUCUCUCUCGUAGCCAAGGCGUUGUUGCAGAUAGACCAAAGGAAGGCGCGGAUUUUAGGAGCAGCAGGCAUUUUCCAUAUAGAACGCCAUAACCAGGUAGGAAUUUGAUAUGAGGAUGAUGCGGUUGAGUCUGAGGUGUGUGAUUGUGAUUGCAUAAUUGCAUGAUAUGCAGACUUGACUGUAAAUGUGCCAUGUUUGGUAGCUGUCCAGAUAAGUGCAUCUGUGGUGUAAUUUGGUCUGAGUUGGAUGCUUGUGAUCUGUUGAAUGAUUGGCAUUUCGAAAAACCUGGAUAAUAAUUCAACUCUCCAUGAACUGGUAGCAGGGUCAAUAAGAUCAGCUACUAGUGUAGGUUCUUCGGGAGCUUUAGGUCCAGAUAGAAUACCCAUGGGAAGCCAUCUGUCUUGUCUUAUGUUGAUGCUCUUUCCAUUUCCUAC
This is a long non-coding RNA of Eucalyptus grandis, 817 nucleotides long. RefSeq lists it as uncharacterized. NCBI's taxonomy places the organism in Eukaryota, Viridiplantae, Streptophyta, Magnoliopsida, Myrtales, Myrtaceae. The transcript has 3 exons. The record is from RefSeq and is a predicted model, not a curated record.